AAUGAACGCUGGCGGCAGGCCUAACACAUGCAAGUCGAGCGAGCAUUUCGGUGCUAGCGGCGGACGGGUGAGUAACGCGUGGGAACGUGCCCUUUUCUGCGGAAUAGUCCUGGGAAACUGGGGGUAAUACCGCAUACGCCCUUUUGGGGAAAGAUUUAUCGGAGAAGGAUCGGCCCGCGUUGGAUUAGGUAGUUGGUGGGGUAAUGGCCCACCAAGCCGACGAUCCAUAGCUGGUUUGAGAGGAUGAUCAGCCACACUGGGACUGAGACACGGCCCAGACUCCUACGGGAGGCAGCAGUGGGGAAUCUUAGACAAUGGGGGCAACCCUGAUCGAGCCAGGCCGCGUGAGUGAUGAAGGCCUUAGGGUUGUAAAGCUCUUUCAGCUGGGAAGAUAAUGACGGUACCAGCAGAAGAAGCCCCGGCUAACUCCGUG
Molecule: ribosomal RNA, 433 nt
Filed under: uncultured bacterium
Lineage: Bacteria
Description: partial 16S ribosomal RNA
Rfam family: Bacterial small subunit ribosomal RNA
Source: RNAcentral